GACGAACGCUGGCGGCGUGCCUAAUACAUGCAAGUCGAACGAACCGCGACUGAGUGCUUGCACUUGGUCAAGGUGAGUGGCGAACGGGUGAGUAACACGUGGGUAACCUACCUCAUAGUGGGGGAUAACAGUCGGAAACGACUGCUAAUACCGCAUAGGACAUAGGAUCACAUGAUCCAGUGGGGAAAGGUGGCGCAAGCUAUCGCUAAGAGAUGGAACCGCGGUGCAUUAGCUAGUUGGUAGGGUAAAGGCCUACCAAGGCGAUGAUGCAUAGCCGACCUGAGAGGGUGAACGGCCACAUUGGGACUGAGACACGGCCCAAACUCCUACGGGAGGCAGCAGUAGGGAAUCGUCCGCAAUGGACGCAAGUCUGACGGAGCAACGCCGCGUGAGUGAAGAAGGUCUUCGGAUCGUAAAGCUCUGUUGUUAGAGAAGAACAGCGCAUAGAGUAACUGCUAUGCGUGUGACGGUAUCUAACCAGAAAGCCACGGCUAACUACGUG
Molecule: ribosomal RNA, 502 nt
Filed under: uncultured bacterium
Lineage: Bacteria
Description: partial 16S ribosomal RNA
Rfam family: Bacterial small subunit ribosomal RNA
Source: RNAcentral